Small nucleolar RNA from Tachyglossus aculeatus (Australian echidna), 138 nucleotides. Lineage: Eukaryota; Metazoa; Chordata; Mammalia; Monotremata; Tachyglossidae. The record is from RefSeq and is a predicted model, not a curated record.
CCCCUCUCAGAGUCGCACCUGGAGAGUUUUCAGUAGUUUACCAGUCUCGGCUACAGGAGGAAGAAUCAAGCAGAGGCCUACCCAUUCCAUUCCUAGCUUGGCCAGUGGCUAGUGAGUGAAAGGCAAUCUGCUACAAGU